GGGGUAGUAGCUCAGUUGGGAGAGCGCGUCGUUCGCAAUGACGAGGUCAGGGGUUCGAUCCCCCUCUACUCCACCA
This 76-nucleotide transfer RNA is filed under the name Aliigemmobacter aestuarii. RNAcentral describes it as "Gemmobacter sp. CC-PW-75 tRNA-Ala". It matches the Rfam family "tRNA". Rfam says of the family: Transfer RNA (tRNA) molecules are approximately 80 nucleotides in length. The record is from RNAcentral. Lineage: Bacteria; Pseudomonadati; Pseudomonadota; Alphaproteobacteria; Rhodobacterales; Paracoccaceae.